UACGGGGGGAGCAAGCGUUGUUCGGAUUUACUGGGCGUAAAGGGCGCGUAGGCGGUCACUACAAGUCAGUUGUGAAAUCUCUGGGCUUAACUCAGAACGGUCAACUGAUACUGUCGGACUAGAGUGCAGAAGGGGCAACUGGAAUUCUCGGUGUAGCGGUGAAAUGCGUAGAUAUCGAGAGGAAGACCAGUGGCGAAGGCGGGUCUCUGGACAGUUCCUGACGCUGAGGCACGAAGGCCAGGGGAGCAAACGGG
RNAcentral lists this ribosomal RNA (254 nucleotides) under uncultured bacterium. RNAcentral's name for it is "partial 16S ribosomal RNA". It matches the Rfam family "Bacterial small subunit ribosomal RNA", at positions 524 to 776 of the family's 1533-position model. The record is from RNAcentral.